RNAcentral lists this ribosomal RNA (253 nucleotides) under uncultured bacterium. RNAcentral's name for it is "partial 16S ribosomal RNA". It matches the Rfam family "Bacterial small subunit ribosomal RNA", at positions 524 to 776 of the family's 1533-position model. The record is from RNAcentral.
UACGUAGGGGGCGAGCGUUCUCCGGAAUUACUGGGCGUAAAGCGCACGCAGGCGGUUCGCCAAGUUUGGAGUGACAGUUGUCGGCUCAACCGACAAAGGACUUCAAAAACUGGUGAACUUGAGGACGAGAGAGGAACAUGGAACUCCAGGUGUAGUAGUGAAAUGCGUAGAUAUCUGGAAGAACACCAAUGGCGAAGGCAAUGUUCUGGCUCGUUUCUGACGCUCAGGUGCGAAAGCCAGGGGAGCAAACGGG